Molecule: long non-coding RNA, 9976 nt
Filed under: Equus caballus (horse)
Lineage: Eukaryota; Metazoa; Chordata; Mammalia; Perissodactyla; Equidae
Description: lncRNA (ENSECAG00000057695.1)
Source: RNAcentral
CUGAAACAACAUGUGUGAGCGGGAAAAAGCGAUAACCUGAGCGGCCAGAAGCACAGUGGAUGUGUGUUGCUGGUGGGCCCGCUGGUCAUGGACAGCCUCGCUCACAGCUCACAGUUGGGGGCCUUGGUGAAGGAUCCUGUGAUGACUGGACUGCUGGGGCUCUUUCUCCACGUGGUCUCUCUCACCCUCACAGAUGGGCUUGUUCACACGGCAGCAGUGUUCAAGAGGGUGACAGUGGAAGCUUCAGGGCUUCUGGAAGCCAAGGCUUGGAAGGCAUAGGAUGUCACUCCUGCCACAUCUUAUUGGUCAAAGCAUGUCACAAAAUCAGCCCAUAUUCAAGGCAGUGGGGAAAUAGAUUCCACUUUUUGAUGGGAGUUGCGGUAAAGAAUUUGUGGCCGUAUUUAACUUGUCGUAGGGCGCUUCAAAUGGGGAGAACAGGUUCUGGAAGGGAAUAGAGAGAAGAAAAUGUAAACUGUGCAGCAGGAAUUUUGAGUUCAGCCUGAUCACAAUAGAGGAGGCCUGUUGGUGAGCAGCUCGAAAUGACACAAGGCAGGCAGCGUGAGAGGCCCAAAGGCUGUAAGCUUAGGACCAGGACUUUAAUGUGAGGGUUGGCAAAGCUGAGUGCACGUGCCCCAUCCACUGCCUCAAACGAUUCCUUUUAAUUCAUCUUCAUUAUUGUUUUCACUUUUUAAAGAAUUUUCACUUUGAGAUCUUAGAAGUCUGAAUUGUUAAAGUGUCAUCUCCACAGAUGGACUUUACCAAAGCCUUAUGGACUUUCAGAAGACAAGAGAGCACAGAGACCAUAUAGGACAGUGGCUAAGCAUCUAAGCUCCAGAGCCAGACAGACCUUCGUUCAAAUCCUGUCUUCGUCACCUGGAAGCCAUGUGACAUUUGAUUAGUCACUUAACCAUUUUGAGCCUCAGUUUCCUCCAGUAUCAUCUGGAGUUAAAUGGUACCUUCCUCACAGGAUGGCCGUGAGGAUUAGACACUGCACUUAUGGAUUUACCUUAGAGUCUUAAGCAUUAAAUCUAUAAGUGCUCAAUUAACGUCAGCUGUAAUUAUAGCCUUUGGAUUUUCAUUCUUCAUCUGUAAAAUGAGGUACUACUGUAGAAAUUCUAGGGUCUUAUUCUUAAAAUAGCUAAUAAAAUUGGGCAUCAAGAAAGUUGCAAAUAGAAAGGGCUGUGCCUAUUCCCAAGGAUACUAUUCUUUCUUGUGAUCUGCAUCCAAAGCCCUGUUUCAAAUCUAAUUGCUUCUCUUCCCUGAAAGAAAACAGACCUCAUGGCAAGCAUAUCUUUUUUUUUUUAAGAUUUUAUUUUUUUCCUUUUUCUCCCCAAAGCCCCCUAGUACAUAGUUGCAUAUUCUUAGUUGUGAGUCCUUCCAGUUGUGGCAUGUGGGAUGCCGCCUCAGCGUGGCCUGAUGAGCGGUACCAUGUCUGCGCCCAGGAUUCCAAAUGGCGAAACCCCAGGCCCCGGCAGCAGAGUGCACAAACUUAACCACUCGGCCACGGGGCUGGCCCUGGCAAACGUAUGUUACACAGAGGUGAUGCUCUGAAGAAUAAAUGCAUUUAUUCUCUAUUUGAAUGUAUUAUACAAGAUGAAUCAGACUGCUGGAGCCUGCUCACUUUUAACCACAUAUCUUUUCCUUGUUUAACAAAUGUUUUGAAUCUCCUACUGUGUUAUAGACCUUACGCUAGAUAUUGAAGAUAUAAUGACAAGUGAAAUCAACAUAGUUGGCCUCAGCAACUGCUUUUUAUAUGCUGCAUUAAAUAAAGCCUAAUUAAAAAGAACAUAUAUAUAUAUGUUUUUUUCCUCCAGGGAAUAUUGACAAAUAGAUUGCUUAAUUUUUUUGUCCUCAAUCCUGGGUGACUAUUCAAAAUAACGUAGCAAAAGUAAUUUAAUCUGUUUUGAAAAAACAAUUAUUUUGAUAGAAAACUCUAGAGCCAACCCUAAAUCAGAUGGUCCAUCUGUCUGGCAAGUGGAGUGGAAACCACAUUGGCUAAUAGUGUAGGGCUUCCCUGAGUCCCUCACCCAGGGCAAGAGAAAUUUUCCCAAGACUGGUUGGACCCCUCGUAGUUUUGGUGCCAUAAAAACAUCAGGUAAGAGAGACCUUUAACCACAGGUAUAGUCUACAGAGACAUUACUCUGUAGUAAUCUGAGUAGAAUUAAUGACUCCCAGACGGUGUUAUUUGGAACUGACUUAUCCUAGGUUUGUUUUCAUGUUUUUCAUAUCUCUACAAAAGACCCUAUUGACUCAAUAAAUAGAAAGCAUCAUAGUCACAUAUAAGGAGACCCAGUUUAGGUUUUAGGGGACUUCAAACUCAAGCCAAGUGUCAAUGAAACAUAAAACAUUUGGUAGAUUAUGGAACUAGGUUCAGCAGAAAAAUAUACCAUGUUCUGGCUUCAGUUCUGUGCCAGGAAAGUGGGUGAUACCCAAAUUAGGAUGCCUCUUGACCCCAAACUGGAGGUCACAACCAGAGAAAAGUGCUCCACAUCUUCCUGAUUAUUCCAUUCAGAGCAUCCAGAUAAGGCACAAGAAUGAUCCUGCCCUCCCCGCCAUAGCCCACUAUUGCUUAAUCUUCUACAGCCCUACUUGGAAGCUUACAUUCCCCACUCUUCAUCUCUUUCUCUCACUCCCGAUUCACCCCUGUAAUUCUCCCUUCCACCAUUUCGCAGGAGAUGGUUGAAUCGGUCUUUUUGCUUUAUCUCAUAUGCUUUAAUUAUAAUCCCCAAAGUAGGAAAUGGAAAAUAUUGGCACACAACUCACCAUCAGACCAAAAAAGCAGUGUUUCUUCAAAUGCAGUGAAUAGAGUAGCAUGUAAUCUAUUGUCAAUUAACUAUGAAUGUGCUCGUCCUAGCACUUUUAAAAAAGAAUCCUUCAAGAAAACUGAGAAAUACAUUUUUAAUGAAGCCACCUGUUCCUUCAGGCCUUGAGAACUUUAACAAGCAUCGGUCCAUGAAAAUAGUUACUGUAAGCAUGUAUAAUAAAUUAAAUAUGAAUUUUAAAUUAUUCAUUGAAUCUUCCUAAGGAUUGAGAUGCCACAGGGAAAAUGAAAAUGCAAUGUUAAUAAGCAAUCAGUAGUGAUUUUAGAAAGGAAGGGAAAAAAGAAGGGUCCCUCUAAAUUUUGCCUUUGCUGAAGAAAGAGCUAAAGGGAUAGCUUCAAAUUAGUAGUACCAAUUAACGUAAACUUGUAAUGCAAGGCUAUACUUCAUUUUAUGUAUUGGUGCAAUUUUAUUGGUUUAUAUUGUUACAUGUUUAAUCGUGGACUGGACCUGGGGGAGGAAAUAAUAAUACAAAUGAGAGAUGUUGUGUAUCAGUUGCUUUGAUUGGACUUUUUCAUAAAUUAUCCCCAGUUGUAAAGGAAGCAACUGAAGACAGAGAGAGUAAAUAACUUGGCCGUGGUUGUUGAGCUGGGAUUUGAACACUGGCUUAUGUGAGGCUAAAGCUUGUGUUUCCCCACCACGCUGUUCUAGCCAAACUUCAUUGUCUCCUGAAGGCGGACUAAUGAAGGGAAGUAGCGGAGGGCUCUGGAGUCAGAGUUCUUGGUUCAAAUACCAGCUCUUCCUCCUAUGAGCUCUGUGACCUUGGAUAGUUUCUGCCUAUAUAAAAUAGAGAUAAUAAUGUGAGGGUUCAGUGGGAUAUGUAUACAAAGCAAUGAACCCAAUGCCUGCUGUGCAGAAAGAGUUUGCUAUGUGGUAUAGUUAUUGUUGUUGCUAUUAUCAUUAUUGUUACUGAAAGUUAAAAAAAAAAGGAGAAGGAAAUGAUGGAGCUGCCUUAGAUGGCAAAUAGCUCUGAAGCAGUGUCAUAGGUUCUUACUGGAUCUGGGAGAACAGCAGAUUACUCACUCUUUUGAGUUGUCAAGCCUGGGUGAUCCCAGCCUGUUUCACUCAUGGCCUGCUGACCAAAGUCCCUAAUGCAUCCGACUAAAUGAUAACCCCCAUCCUGCACCUUCUGGUGACAAUGCAGGAGAUCUCUCAGCUUUCUUUGGGUAGUGUCACAGUAGGUUCACAGUCAAUACAUUUUUUUUCCUUGAGCUAAACUCAGUAGGGAAAUCUCUGAUAGCUUUCUUCUUCUUCUUCUUUUUUUUUUUUUGCUGAGGAAGAUUAGCCCUGAGUUAACAUCUGUGCCAAUCUUCCUCCACUUUACAUGUGGGUCACCACCACAGCAUGGCUUACAAGUGGUGUAGGUCCAUGUCUGGGAUCCAAACCCAUGAACCUGGGCCACCAAAGUGGAGUAUGCCAAACUUAACCACUAUGCCACUGGGCUGGCCCCAUGGUUUCUUCUUUUUGAAACAUCUCUUUCACACUUUAGAUUCUAGGACCUUUUCUCUUCCAAGAAAGCCAGGUUUGAUGUUCCUAGCUACAACUGAAGAACAACAGCUUUACCCUUCUCUGGCUUUUGAAAUUCCUUUCUGAUGGGAGGAUAGUGUGAUGGGUUGAAUUGCGUCCCUCUAAAAUUCCUAUGUUAAAGUCCUAACCCUCAGUACCUCAGAAAGUGACUGUAUUUGAGGACGGAGCCUUUAAAGAGAUAAUUAAGGUAAAAUGAGGUGGUAUGAGUGAACCCUAAUGCAAUAUGACUGAUGUCCUUAUAAGAAGAGGAGAUUAGGACAGAGGGACAAACAUGUGAGGACAUAGCAAGAAGAAGAGAGGUCUCAGAAGCAAACAAAUCUACUGACACCUUGGUCUUGGACUUCCAGCCUCCAGAACUGUGAGAAAACUAAUUUCUGUUGUUUAAGCACCCAGUCUGUGGAGUUUUGUAAUGGCAGCCCUAGCAGACUCCUACAUGUAGAAUGGUCCUCAGAUGGUCUUGAAACAGGAGAUACUGUGCUCAAGGUGCUCUCUGGAGAAGCCUGAGUCAGAGAAAGAGCCCUCAUUACUAAACCACUUAGGGUCUCAUGUUUGUAAGGGUCAGUAGAGGGACAAGAGCACUGGCAACUUUGAAGUCACCCUCUCUAGAGAGUCUUCCGUCUUAAAUAUCUUUCUCCAGAGGUCUGAAAUGAUGUCAUCAGCAGUUCAUAUGGAGGUCUUGAAGCCUUUUUUUAGUGUUCAACAUCUCAUGGUAAAAUAAGAAUAUACCAGAUGACUGGGAUGCCGUUGAUAGACUGUGGAUGCCGGACGUGGGUUUUGGGAAGGAUUCCAGCAAAGGAGCAGUGAAGGAGAGGAUGGAAAGGCAGAGAUCAUCAGGUCCUUCCCUCUCAGCUCUGCCCAGGGCCAGCCUCGAAACGCCUUGCACCGGGCUUACAGGAAGAAGGGUGGAGUUUUGCUUCUUCUUUGGUGGUGCCUCCUUCCCAAACGUGAGGCUCUCCAUGGGCACAGGGCUGUGGUGAUUGCUUCAUGGUGCAAUGGUUGAGACAGCUGUCCUUCAAGACCCUUCUUUUGGCCUUUUAGUUGCUGCAACAUUUUGAUCAGAAAUUUCUGCUUUAAGUGUAAAGGAUGUGGUGCAAUUGGGGAAGGAAGUGUGGAGAACAAUCAAAACAAAACACCCCGGCCAUAGUUCAGUAAAAUAGAACACAUUCCUGCCCCCUGCCCUCCACCAGAGUGUUUAACUUUUCCUCUUUUUUUCUUAGCUCUGACGCUAGUGUGGUGUAGAUUAUAACUCUGGUAUUUUUGUUUGUCAUCAUUUUCCUUGAACAUGAAUACAAAGAAGACUUCAACAGCAGUAGAGUAAACUGAGUAGCCUGUAGCAAUGCUUUUGUAUUUGAAGUCAGAUUAAAUUUGUCCUCCAAAAAGGUUUCUGCUCCUUCUCCCUCUCCCUCUGCUUCCUUCCCUGGACUCCUGCCCCCAGCACUGCAGCCUGUCCCCACACCUCCAGGAUGUUAGCAGUUUUUAGGGAACAAGAUUUGCUCCCUUCUUUUCAUGAGAUUGUUGAAGACUGAAAAAAACCCUUAAGACUCCUCAAAAUGAAUUUCUGACCAGUGGGGCAGAUUUUAUGAGGCAGGAGACCCUCCCACAGUUUCCAGUAGGUCAGUCUCUAUAAUGAAUGAGAGUUCUGCAUGUGAAUGAAGUAGAGGAUGCUGAGGGAAGAAUCAGGAUGAUUCCAUAUGGACAAAUGGAAAUAGAGAUAGACUCCUGGAAAAAUAAGAAAUAGGCAUCACACUUUAUUCUGGGUCAAAUAGAAUAUUACAUAUUCUAGGAAAGAAAUGAUCUAGCUAAUUAUUUUUAAACCAUUUCACUUACAAAGUUCCAUUUUAUCUGAGUGAUAGUCAUUUCUUUUUUUCUCUUUCUAAGUGUGGAAGCGGAAUGUAUAUCAAUGUAUGGCCCCUAGCAGGAGAGUGGUCACAUGGGAGGGUGUGAAAAAUGCCUAUUCUGGCUGCAGUGUGUGUGCUCGUGGGUGGGAGAGAAAUAACCAUUAACGAUGUGGAGGAAAACAAAUACCUUGACUAAAUUUCGUGUCAUUCUUUGUGAUGUUGCAAUUCUCUUUAAAUAAAUAACUAGAACACUUCCCAAAAGAAACUGAAUGUACGUUGUGAAGGAUAAUUAAGACUGUAGAUCAAACGCAAAAACGACACUUUGGAAGAAAAUAUUUUUAGAAUUUGCACCACGCUCCUUUCAAUCUCUGGCCCAAAUGACAAAGAUGAUUUUGUAAAUGCGUUCAUGUGGGCCUAACAACUUGUUGGAAAGCCUGCCUGAGUUGGAUGGAUAUAAUAACAGAACUGCAAAUUAUACCCUUACACAAGAAUACAAAGCAGCCACACCUGUGGCUUCAUGGAGUAUUUGCUUCGUUCGGGAAAGGGGGAGGAAGCUUGAGUCUGGUUUACAGAUGUCUCUGCUGACACCAGUUGGACAUGGACCACUGAGGUCCCAGCAGAGCCAUAUUCCCUGUGGUUGGAGGAUAAGGGAGAUCCUCCCAGUGGACAGCACUUUGAACAGUCCACCUUGUGGUCCAUUUUGCCUGGAAGGAGAGAAGACCUGAGGACUGACAGCAAGGAGGUUUGGGAAGAGUCAGCAUUUUACAAAUUGUUGAUGCUCAAUUACUAUCUAUUGACUCGAUUUUAAUGAGUGUUAUGGAGAUGUUUUCUGCUAUAGUUGAUCUGAAAUAAAAGUCAUAGUCAAGAUCAUUUGAAGGCUUUCAGAUUACAGCCCACCUCCAUCAAGGAAACGUCGCUUACCAUACAGACGACCUUACUGUUUAUACGUCAGAGUCUUAACGUUUUUAACAUUUCAGAAGACUAAUACCGACCAAUUUCCAUGCGGAAAUAUCCAGCAAGAUCAAACGGGGGUAGGAAAACAAAAGCUAAUUUCAUUCAGAAGAUUCUGUCUUCUCUCAGCCUUGGUGGUUAUUUCCUGCUUGAGUCACUUCCCCUGAGAGGGUGACACUGGACAGCAGCCUCGAAAGCCGCAUUAUUCACAAUAGCCAAGAUGUGGAAGCAACCCAGGUGCCCACCAACUGAUGAAUGGAGAAAGAAGAUGUGGUAUAUAUAUACAAUGGAAUACUACUCAGAGAAGACAAAGUCACCCCAUUUGCAACAUAAUGAAUGGAACUUGAGGGCCUUAUAUUAAGCAAAAUAAACCAGACCAAGAAAGACAAACACCAUAUGAUUUCACUCAUGUGUGGAAGAUAAACAGUGGGGUUGGGUCUUCAUCUUAUUAUGAAUGACCAACGCUUUUAUUUGACAAAUCUAAUUGUUAGACAUAUCUCCUUUUUAUUGUGGUAGAAUCUGAUUAAAAUCUUUUAGUUUUAGCUAUUGAUCUCUGGAGCAAGGCCAGGUAAGAUAAUAUGUGUGGUUGUGGAAUGGAGAAACUUCCUUAUUAUGGCAUCGCAGAGGGAAGAGGCAAAUUCUGGAGGCCCAGUCAAGCUGGUAGGCAUGUUACCUGGAAAGGAAUGUAAGAAAACAUCAUGCAGAAGACAGUGUGAUCAGAGGCAGAGACGGUGUUGGGAGAGGCUAUCUAGAAGCUCAAGGUGAGCCUAUAAUGGUCAAGAAGACCCUCGUGUGAUAAAGACCUUGAAGACUGAGAGUUCAACAUCAGGUGUGAAAUGGCUCUGCGCCACAUGGAGAAAGAGCAAAAUGUCACUUCCGAGGUUUGUGACAAAAUUUCGUGAUAGAUUCUUCGGGUGGAGUGAGAGGCCUUUCUCACUGCUGUGACACUGCUGCUGAGGUGGAAAAGCUGAAGAGCAGAUUAUUCAGUUUCUACACUGAGCCCUGCUCGACAUGAUGCUAAAACAUGGUGUUUUUUGGACCCAGGUUUUCACUGAUAACAAAAAGGAAGGUCAGUAGCAGUGCACCUCCAUUUGAAUCUUUGGACUCCCUGCACCAACUUCUCUCUAGAUUAAGACCAGGAAGCUGGUUUACAGCCAUCAUAAUCUGCAAAGAGGUCUCUGCCAGGGCAGCAAGCAUCCAUUUCUUUCUUCCAGUACAUCAGACAGUGGACGGGAAAAGAUGAGCUUUCAAAGGGUCAGUUUUCUUCUACCAUUACAAAGUUUAGUGCCUUAAAAAAAAAAAUCAACAGAACUGGGAAAUCUCACUUUGGGAGACAGCCUGGCCCUUCUUCAUAACCCGUUCCUCCAAGCAAACUUGAUUUGCUUAUUAAAAUAGGCAUGAAGAAGCUCUUCCGUGAAGCUUCCUUUUCCACCUGAUGUGUACGAAGGUUUCAAGAACUUGGCUGCACUCCCCCAGCAGGUGCAGAGGAUCCAGUGACCAGAGUGCCCUAAAGGAACUCGAUAGCUUCUGACCAAAUGCCAGAUGGGUUUCUGGAUAAGAGAUCUCAACCAUCAGCCUCCUUCAAGCCCUCUAGGCUUUGAAUCUGGUGUCUGUCCUUGUUGGACCUGUAUCUCCCAGUUGUAGCAAGAAUGUCGCUAAGUCGGUUAAGGGAGAACUCCCUACCCUUGAUAUCUGAUCAUCCUCAAUACCUGAGAAGAUUCCUCAUCCCCCCGCAUCCCUGAGGUGCUAUCUGAUCACCCUGGCCUGCCUGCAGCAAGAACUCUGUCGAGUCAGUUUAGACAGAAAUCCCCACCCUACCUCUGUGAAAAAUGGUCAACUCUUAAGACUGCUUCUGAAUCCUUCGGUAGUGAUGAAUGUGGGACACCUUUCGAGAUGGGGGAGUUCAGAUCUUGCACAGAAAGCUUCUUUGUCCCUCCAAGGACUUUGAAGACAUCACCCACCCCUACAGUGGUUUGGAAUGUGGAGAGAGGAUUUUGGUUCUCACCAUUGACCAGGAGUUGUUCUUGGCUUUUGGUGGUAAUGUGCAGGAUGUUCCCACACCACGAGUAAUUGUCCGGCCUCAAAUCCCAACGGUCCCUUCACGUAGGAAACGUUCCCCACUCCUCUCCCGGGUCCUGCCUCUGGUUUAGGUUGUAGACUCUGGGAGAGAAGGGGUGUGGUGGGCUCUCUUCACUGCCCUGACGGAAGGGCACCUAGAAGAGCGCCUUCCAUGCAGUGAGUGCUCAGUAAACAUUUGUUGAGGAAAUGCCGCUUAUAAAGACAGUGAUUGAUUGGUGGACAAUAAGAUACAUAAAAUAAAAACCUACUGACCCAAGUUCAAUUUCCCUGGGCCUUCAAUUGAAUUGCCUGGCAUUGGGAUCCUGGGGAGACUUGCUUUUCAAGUCAAGUCUCUGUUCAAUCUUUGUGCAUGUCAGCUUUGGGGUAUCAUUUUUGGGAGUAGUUGCCCUGUGUGCUCCAGUUUACUGUGAUUAUAGGAUGCGAACAUAAUCUCAGAGGGUUCUGAGGAAUCCUGGGUUUAAUUUUAUUUGCAUAUUUGUUUUUAGAGGAAGUUAAAAGACAUACUUUUCUGGUAACAUUUUAACACCAAAUUUAUAAAGAUACUUACUGGAAAAUAUGGUUCCCUAGAUUUCCUGGAAACGUUUGGAAAUCUUAUAAUUAAGCUCUUGAGUCGUGUAGUCUGUUUUCUCUGUAAAGUGUGAUAUUCAACGUUAAAAGGGGUAAAAACAGGUUGUGAGGCUCUGGGUGGAUGUAACUGUCUCUUACAGGAACUUUCCAAAAAGCAAAUUGGCUGUACAAAUGGGACUGUGUUUCCUAAAAUAC